Molecule: long non-coding RNA, 1316 nt
Filed under: Astyanax mexicanus (Mexican tetra)
Lineage: Eukaryota; Metazoa; Chordata; Actinopteri; Characiformes; Acestrorhamphidae
Description: lncRNA (ENSAMXG00005020685.1)
Source: RNAcentral
AUCACUAAAAUAGGGCCAUGUGUCUCAUCCUUAUACUAAAUUUAAUGCAUUUUACAGGUUUCAGGAAUGAGAGUGUUGAAAUGGGCACCAACAUAACGUUACCCUGUACCACAGAAAAGAUGAUGAUUUAUGUAAUCUGGAAAAUCUACUCACGAGAGAAGACCUGUACAAUCUCUGUGACCACAAUCGAUACUGACUACGACAACUGUAAUGAUGGAAAGCAGAUAAUCAGUAAAGAUGGAGAUUACAGCUUGUUCAUCCCUCAGUUUUCAAUCAAGAAUGAAGGCCAGUACAUCUGUGACGUGUCUCACCGUGCCGGGGGCUUUACAGAAACAAUUCAUGUGUCUGCAUACGUCCGUCCGACACUGACUGGCUGGCUGGAAAAGGAUGAAGAUGGUCACACUUUUGCCGUCUGUGAAGCUCAGAGUAAACCAGCAGCUUCCAUUUACUGGGAAUCCCAGUGGAACAUCUCCUCACUCAGAACGAGCUCAUCUAAAAACGACAGUGGACUUUUCACAGUGACGAGCCGUUUACAGCUUCCUCAUGAUGCAUCUUACGCUGAUCUGACCUGCGUGGUCUCUGCCAGCCCCUCCAACUACUGGAAAGAGAUUCAAUUCAACACCUUCGGGUAUAAGGGCUAUUGCGCACUAUUGGAUUUGUCUGGGUAUUUUUGCCUUUUUCAUCAUAACACAUUUGAUCAUCUUUGCCGUCUUUUUGAUCAUUAAAAAAUGUGGCCUGCAUGUCUGAAAUCUCAACACCAAAAGAAGAAAACUCAAAGGUAAAGCAUUUUAUUUUGUAAUUAUGUAAUUUAAAUCAUUCUUUAGAUUCAAUUGUAUUUAUUUUUUUCAGUUACCUAACUUGGAAUGUAAGAUUUCCAUGUGAUGUAAUAGGCUGGUGGUAAUGGGUAUUUGUUUCUGGUUUUAGGAAUAUGAAGAAGAAGUGAAGGUGGAAAGUGGCUUGUAUGUGAAUGUUAACCAACUUAUGACCUGUUUAGACUUGAGACUUAAGACAUACAAAAGUGCAGUGUUUAAGGGAAGCUGCAAAAUAACUCAGAGAUGGUGAACUUCCUGCAGGUCUUGAUAGCAGGUGGGAUCAAACAUUAUAAAAGUGGAUAUCUGCAUUUUUUGGAAUCUGAAAAAAUGUGUCCGGGUGGGAUUUUUUAAAUGAAAGGAUAUUGCGUUAAUUUCUACAGUCUAUUUCCAACGCAAAAAGACAAUAUGCAUAAAAUAUAUUAUAUCAUAUAUAAAUAUGUGUGUGUGAAUGUGUCAUGUUUUUGUCUGGAUGUGCCCAUGCAAGCCUUCUUAUUCUUAUUUAUU